UGUGGGUUGACCUGAAUUUUGCAACUGGUAAUUAGAUUUGUGUGGGUGUUAAGGUUAGCUGGCACUCUUGAAUUACGUUUAACCCAACAGUCCAACAAAGCUUCUAAUCAGAUUACACUCUUUCAAAAACAGAUUCCUCUCACACAAGACUUCAGAGUGGUCUGCUCAGAUAACUAUGUGUUUUUUCAUUUUAAAAUUAAUCUGAUUGUAAUUAUUCUCCUAAGAUCUUCUUCUUUCUUUUUUGGCUUUUCCCAUCAGGGGCCGCCACAGCGAAACAACCUCUCUUUCCAGGAUAAAUCGCAUGGUUGACUUGGCAAUGUCGCUGGAUGCCCUUCCUGACGCAACCCUCUCAAUUUAUCCGGGCUUGGGACCGGCACAGAAGCAGAGAAGGGAAUAGGGAGCAGCCCGCAUUCGAGCCCUGGUUUCACGGAUGGAAGGCGCCGCAAACAAGCACGAGCUAAACUAGCUCCAAUUAUUCUCCUAAGAUAUAGUUAAUAAACAGAAUGGAAUAUCCUGAAAAAGUUUAAAAUUGUGAAUCAGUUUAAAAAGUGAAAAUCUUAUUUUAGGAAGAAUCGUUAGAUGUAGAUGGAAAUAUUUUAUGGAUUAAAAGGCCCUAUAUUAUGUAAAAUCAACUUUUUGAGCUUUUAAGUGCAUCAUAAUUUUCAUUGCUCACCGAAAGAAACCCCAAAGUGGUAUUUUGUGGUUUACCGUUCGCGCAUAUCUGAGUAUUCCUCUGAAAACCUGCUCUCUGAGCACCAGCCCCCGAUCCACAAGAACGAAUAGGUUCUCACAAGCUGAGGUAGAUAAGUGAGAACUGUCUGCACUGCCAGCACCGCCCCCAUGGUAACACAAACACUCACACGUUCUCCGUGGAGCUAGCAGUGAUCUGCAAAACGCUUUUAUUUUAAAUGCACAAUAUAUCGUUCAAUUAUGUGCUGUCCCCAAUAAAUGCCAUCUGUUAUAAGUGCUCGUUACUUUAGAAGCCAUCUUUAAAAUUAAUUUCACAAAAUUCAGUUUAUUUCCUGUACAGAAAAUCACAUCAUCAAAAAAUACACUAAUGUGUUUUUUAUGCUAAAAUUUGUGGCAUAAUUUAAUCACGUCACGUAUUUUUCUUAAUACUUUUUGAUUAUGCAUUUACUUGUUUCUUUAUAAACAUGAACACUGUGUAAAGUAAGUGCUUAAACCUGUAUCUGUUUUUUUGUCUGUGAGGAGAGGAUGCGGACAUUACUGUCUUUCGUAUCAGGAACGGCUGGUCACUCAGUCUCGUACUUGUAGACACAGAGCCAUUGUAUGCCAUGACUUGAUUUAUACAUGUUGGGUAAUAAAGCCUGCUUGCUGUGAGGGGGAAGCUCAGACCAGAAGCAGAGCACUUCUAAUAUGUGGACGCCCCUGGCUCUUCAUGCAGACUCUUGGGGGAUUUUCCUUUUCCCAUUUGCACAAAUGGUUUUUAUGUCCUCAACCAUCAGAACCCGGGAAGGCCCUACGCCGCAACAACAUGAAAACUGUGAAGUUGUUGGAGUCUAUCCCAGCCACUGCAGGGUAAAGGCAUUCUACACCCGGAACAGUUCAAUGGUCCAUUCCAAGUCCUCACACUCACAUCUAUGGAGCAUCACCUUUAGAACCGUGUUUUUCAGACUGUGCCCAAAGAAAAAGCACAAGGAGAAUAUGCCCACUCCAAACAGAAAGGACCCAGCCGGAUCUAAAACUGGGGGUGGAGUGGGGCGGGGGGAGCUUAAGAGUUGAGUGUUUUCAAUGAAACCAUCAAAAUGGAGAAACAAUACAGUCAGUUUUCAAUGUUUUUGAUCUGUUUUAAGGUGAUUUCUUUGAUCUGAGUGAAGAAGAAAAAUGUCAUAUUUUUUGGUGUUAAAAAUGAUGUGCAAUUAACAAUAAAUUAUUUUUUUAUAUUACAAA
Molecule: long non-coding RNA, 1911 nt
Organism: Oryzias latipes (Japanese medaka)
Lineage: Eukaryota; Metazoa; Chordata; Actinopteri; Beloniformes; Adrianichthyidae
Source: RefSeq, a predicted model, not a curated record